RNAcentral lists this ribosomal RNA (257 nucleotides) under uncultured bacterium. RNAcentral describes it as "partial 16S ribosomal RNA". It matches the Rfam family "Bacterial small subunit ribosomal RNA", at positions 524 to 776 of the family's 1533-position model. The record is from RNAcentral.
AACGGGGGGAACGAGCGUUAUUCGUCAUGACUGGGCGUAAAGGGUAUGUAGGUGGUAAUCUUAAUACAAUUUUAAAAAACAGAAUCUCAACUUCUAACUAUUAUUGUACAUUUUUUUACUAGAGUUUAGCACACGAUUCAGGUAUUUUUGGAGUAACAGUAAAAAGUGCAAAUUCCAAUAAGGACCGCCAACAGCGAAAGCAUGAAUCCAGGCUAUUUCUGACACUGAGGUACUAAAGCAUGCUGGGAGCAAACGGG